This 484-nucleotide ribosomal RNA is filed under the name uncultured bacterium. Its description in RNAcentral is "partial 16S ribosomal RNA". It matches the Rfam family "Bacterial small subunit ribosomal RNA", at positions 30 to 507 of the family's 1533-position model. The record is from RNAcentral.
AUUGAACACUGGCGGCAGGCCUAACACAUGCAAGUCGAGCGGGUGAAGGGAGCUUGCUCCUGGAUUCAGCGGCGGACGGGUGAGUAAUGCCUAGGAAUCUGCCUGGUAGUGGGGGAUAACGUCCGGAAACGGGCGCUAAUACCGCAUACGUCCUGAGGGAGAAAGUGGGGGAUCUUCGGACCUCACGCUAUCAGAUGAGCCUAGGUCGGAUUAGCUAGUUGGUGGGGUAAAGGCCUACCAAGGCGACGAUCCGUAACUGGUCUGAGAGGAUGAUCAGCCACACUGGAACUGAGACACGGUCCAGACUCCUACGGGAGGCAGCAGUGGGGAAUAUUGGACAAUGGGCGAAAGCCUGAUCCAGCCAUGCCGCGUGUGUGAAGAAGGUCUUCGGAUUGUAAAGCACUUUAAGUUGGGAGGAAGGGCAGUAAGUUAAUACCUUGCUGUUUUGACGUUACCAACAGAAUAAGCACCGGCUAACUUCGUG